This 72-nucleotide transfer RNA is filed under the name Camelus bactrianus (Bactrian camel). It matches the Rfam family "tRNA". From Rfam's summary of the family: Transfer RNA (tRNA) molecules are approximately 80 nucleotides in length. Their secondary structure includes four short double-helical elements and three loops (D, anti-codon, and T loops). The record is from Rfam by way of RNAcentral. RNAcentral also lists the same sequence under 1 other name. Lineage: Eukaryota; Metazoa; Chordata; Mammalia; Artiodactyla; Camelidae.
GAGGGUAUGGCUCAGUGGUAGAGCGCGUGCUUAUCAUGUACUAGGUCCUGGGUUCAAUCCCCAGUGCCUCCA